GGAAGGGGUGUAUUUAUUAGAUUAAAAACCAAUGCCCUUCGGGGCUCACUGGUGAUUCAUGAUAACUCCUCGAAUCGCAUGGCCUUGUGCCGGCGAUGGUUCAUUCAAAUUUCUUCCCUAUCAACUUUCGAUGUUUGGGUAUUGGCCAAACAUGGUUGCAACGGGUAACGGAGGGUUAGGGCUCGACCCCGGAGAAGGAGCCUGAGAAACGGCUACUACAUCCAAGGAAGGCAGCAGGCGCGCAAAUUACCCAAUCCCGACACGGGGAGGUAGUGACAAUAAAUACUGAUACAGGGCUCUUUUGGGUCUUGUAAUUGGAAUGAGUACAAUUUAAAUCCCUUAACGAGGAACAAUUGGAGGGCAAGUCUGGUGCCAGCAGCCGCGGUAAUUCCAGCUCCAAUAGCGUAUAUUAAAGUUGUUGUGGUUAAAAAGCUCGUAGUUGAACCUUGGGCCUGGCUGGCCGGUCCGCCUCACCGCGUGUACUGGUCCGGCCGGGCCUUUCCCUCUGUGGAACCCCAUGCCCUUCACUGGGUGUGGCGGGGAAACAGGACUUUUACUGUGAAAAAAUUAGAGUGCUCCAGGCAGGCCUAUGCUCGAAUACAUUAGCAUGGAAUAAUAGAAUAGGACGUGUGGUUCUAUUUUGUUGGUUUCUAGGACCGCCGUAAUGAUUAAUAGGGACAGUC
Molecule: ribosomal RNA, 683 nt
Filed under: uncultured fungus
Lineage: Eukaryota; Fungi
Description: SSU rRNA
Rfam family: Eukaryotic small subunit ribosomal RNA
Source: RNAcentral